Arachis ipaensis is the source of this 649-nucleotide non-coding RNA. The record is from RefSeq and is a predicted model, not a curated record. NCBI's taxonomy places the organism in Eukaryota, Viridiplantae, Streptophyta, Magnoliopsida, Fabales, Fabaceae.
AGCAUUCUCAAUAGCUAGCACAACACUGCUACUAGCUCAAACAACUAAACCAAAUAAGCUAACAGAAGCAAAAUAACUGUAAAAAUUACAGACAAAAAAAUUGUAAUUGCCAUAUGCAACCAUUUAACCACAAAUUCAACACAAUCAUCAUUUAGCAAGAAUUAAAUUGAUAUAAUCAAACAAAAUUAGGACCUAGCAGCAGCAGCAGCAGCAAUUAAAUCAUUCAAGAGACAAGGGCAAAACAACAAAAUGGGGCAGAAAAAAAAAGACAACUUAAAAGAAGGUAGAAAUUAAGGCAAAACCGGAUAGCACAGGGCAGACGAGCAGCAGGAAGAAUCGAAGAAGGCAAAAGGCGAGUCGUGGUCCUCGUGGUGUAAGUUAAGGGUGUUCAUGGGCCAGGGGAAGAAGGAAGCGGCGAUGGAGUUCACGGCUCAGCGGCUGCGUAACAGAGGAGCGGUGACGAAGAUAGCAGACGCUGGUGGACUGGUGGUGCUGGGUGAGCAGCGAGAAGCAGAUAGAAGAUGAUGGUAGAGGCUGGGUGGGUGAGGCGGUGAGCACUGACUUCUUGUGAUGUUUCUAUAAUCAGAUGACUGAAAGAAGUAAAAAUAAAAAUAAAUAAAUAAGUUCUUCAUAUAUUUUAAGUAAUCAA